This 700-nucleotide ribosomal RNA is filed under the name uncultured bacterium. RNAcentral describes it as "bacterial SSU rRNA". It matches the Rfam family "Bacterial small subunit ribosomal RNA", at positions 42 to 721 of the family's 1533-position model. The record is from RNAcentral.
UCAGGCCUAACACAUGCAAGUCGAGCGGCAGCGACAUGAUAGAAGCUUCGGUGGACAUCAUGGGCGGCGAGCGGCGGACGGGUGAGUAAUGCCUGGGAAUAUGCCCUGGUGUGGGGGAUAACUAUUGGAAACGAUAGCUAAUACCGCAUAAUCUCUUCGGAGCAAAGAGGGGGACCUUCGGGCCUCUCGCGUCAGGAUUAGCCCAGGUGGGAUUAGCUAGUUGGUGGGGUAACGGCUCACCAAGGCGACGAUCCCUAGCUGGUCUGAGAGGAUGAUCAGCCACACUGGAACUGAGACACGGUCCAGACUCCUACGGGAGGCAGCAGUGGGGAAUAUUGCACAAUGGGGGAAACCCUGAUGCAGCCAUGCCGCGUGUAUGAAGAAGGCCUUCGGGUUGUAAAGUACUUUCAGCAGUGAGGAAGGGGUGUACGUUAAUAGCGUAUAUCUUUGACGUUAGCUGCAGAAGAAGCACCGGCUAACUCCGUGCCAGCAGCCGCGGUAAUACGGAGGGUGCGAGCGUUAAUCGGAAUUACUGGGCGUAAAGCGCAUGCAGGCGGUCUGUUAAGCAAGAUGUGAAAGCCCGGGGCUUAACCUCGGAACAGCAUUUUGAACUGGCAGGCUAGAGUCUUGUAGAGGGGGGUAGAAUUUCAGGUGUAGCGGUGAAAUGCGUAGAGAUCUGAAGGAAUACCGGUGGCGAAGG